Molecule: small nucleolar RNA, 99 nt
Filed under: Chlamydomonas reinhardtii
Lineage: Eukaryota; Viridiplantae; Chlorophyta; Chlorophyceae; Chlamydomonadales; Chlamydomonadaceae
Description: CrCD50f snoRNA
Source: RNAcentral
GCCGGCUGAUGACCAAACGUUUAGAUGACGAAUCUGAGCGGGACAGCCGUUGAAAGCGCCGCACACAGUGACGACAAAACGAGGCAUUUGUCUGACGGC